This 450-nucleotide ribosomal RNA is filed under the name uncultured bacterium. Its description in RNAcentral is "bacterial SSU rRNA". It matches the Rfam family "Bacterial small subunit ribosomal RNA", at positions 29 to 523 of the family's 1533-position model. The record is from RNAcentral.
AGCGAACGCUGGCGGCAGGCUUAACACAUGCAAGUCGAACGGGCGUAGCAAUACGUCAGUGGCAGACGGGUGAGUAACGCGUGGGAACGUACCUUUUGGUUCGGAACAACCCAGGGAAACUUGGGCUAAUACCGGAUAAGCCCUUACGGGGAAAGAUUUAUCGCCGAAAGAUCGGCCCGCGUCUGAUUAGCUAGUUGGUGUGGUAACGGCGCACCAAGGCGACGAUCAGUAGCUGGUCUGAGAGGAUGAUCAGCCACAUUGGGACUGAGACACGGCCCAAACUCCUACGGGAGGCAGCAGUGGGGAAUAUUGGACAAUGGGCGCAAGCCUGAUCCAGCCAUGCCGCGUGGAUGAUGAAGGCCUUAGGGUUGUAAAGUCCUUUUAACGGGAAGAUAAUGACGGUACCCGUAGAAUAAGCCCCGGCUAACUUCGUGCCAGCCGCCGCAGUAG